UUAUACAAUAGGGUAAAUACGAAAAGGUGUUACAUGGCUAUAUAUAUUUAACUCUAACAGUCCUUGGAAGCAAGCUCUCUUUGAGAACUUAAACUCCACAUGGAACUCUAUCUACAAGACUAUGGAGAUGACUCUGGAAAACUCUUCUGCAAAGAACAAGGGUAGUAAAAUCAAAUAUAAAUUGUACAAAGGCCAACUCAGUUCUGAAAUCUAAAAUUGGCUAACCAACUUGGUUUUGGAUUCUGGACAAGCCCGAGUGCAAGCCAAGAGAAACUCAAACAAGUUGGCUCCUCUAACUUGGACCUGUUAUUAACCCAAAAUCCAAAACCAAGACAGUUCACCAGAUCCCAGCCACAAAGCCAAAGAAGAAUCGAACUUAAAGGACCCAAAGAUCAGAAUAGCACAGAACAAUAUGGCAACUAGCAAAACCACUUGGUAACUUAAACCACUUGCAUAGGAUAGGUCUCAAAUAGAGUUAAAGGUAACAAAGACAGAGUCAUAGAUAUCCUGGCUACUACGAACUGAACAAGAUAACUACGAGCAACAGGCUCCACGGCAAAACAGAGUCAUCGCCAUCUCAGGCUCUCUCACACACAGCUCCCUCCACAGGAGCUCAGCAGUAGAACAUGACGUCCUUGAUGUUGUCCUUGAUCUUUGGGAGGUGGCGCACCUCCACAGGGCCCUCGUGCGCAAUCGCCGCCUGCCCAGGGGUCGACCCGCCGUCCGAGCUGUCCCCUUCCACGUAGUAGCGCGCGCAGAAUGCGGCGAGAUGGGCAUAGUACGCCGGUGGGACUGCAUAGCAAGUUCAGCCAAGUUAGCUUCUUCUGGAAGUAAAUGCCACAGCAGGUUGUGAAAACAGAACGACAGCUAGGUUACCAAGUCUUAAAACAGCAAGGGGGAAAGAUGCUGUGUUGUUCAUUUCAAUGUAAACAUAGAUGACACAGAACAAAGGAAUGGAAACUACUCAGUGUGUUCAUCAAUAAACUAGCAGAGGAAUGCAAACUACUUAGUGUAUUCAUGAAUAAACUGGCAAAGGAAUGAAAACUACUCUGUGUAUUCAUCAAUAAACUAAGGUUCAUUUUGCCAGGAGUGCAUGCUUAUUUAGAGUUGCAGACCAAAGGCUCUAGAGCACAGAUCCAUUAAGGAGUUAAAGGAACCACCAGUGCGGUUGGAUUGCUAACUUGCAUCAGAGAAGGCACACGCAGGUGGGUACAAGGUAAUACGAAUGCCGAAUUACUACAAGUCUACAGCUGCUAGGACUGUCAGGAUAAGCAAAACAUACGAUAGCAGAGGCAUAAGGCAGAUGCGCCCAGGCUACUAGUAUUAAUGCCCACAGAAGAAUGCUCUACUGGAGAGAAAAAGCACACAGAUGAAAGUUGAAGCAAAUUAAGGUAGAAAACUGAAGAAGCGAACUCACCAACAGAGACCGCACGAGUGCAACGAGCAUAGCUGCAUAUGGAUCAGAAUUUAAACCAUCAUCAGAGUCAUAACACAACAGAGAGAGGAAGAGAGAGGGGAAGAGACAGAAAGAGAGAGGAUUACGUGUAGCAGAGAUUGUUGGUCAGUUACUGAAGCGCAUCGGCUGUGAAGUGAUUCUCAUCAUAAAGAACAUGGUAGUGUGUUGGCCUGCUAGUUCCCUGAGGAGCAUUUUGCAAACACACUCAGCAUGCAAGCACUGAAGAUAAGCUGCAUAGGAACAAAUGGACAUGUGGACAAAGCGUCUACCUUAAUGCCAGCAUGGCUGCACAAGUAGAAAUCAAACUCUGUAGGGUGGCAAAUCAUGAGGUCAACCACAGUUCCUGCAGGACAACAGAAACAGAUAUGCACCCAAUCACAGUCAGCGAUGCUUCAACAAGUAGCAGAUAGUUGUAACCGGUGAGAUUGAAAGACCAGUGUAUCUGCUAACCUGGAAGUAUGUUCCCACUCUUGUCAGUCAUAUCACGCCUCCCAUGAACCUCAGGGAACAGCCUGGUGUGAUGCCUUUUCUGGACAACCACAAAGGUGACUGGGGGCAUAUACCCCUCCAAUGAGGCGCAGGCCUUGCAACAGCAAAAUUAAGAACCAUCAGAAUGAGAAAAGCCAAGAAUGUAAACAAAACAGAAAUUUGCAUGUAAUCAUAUGAUGCAGGCUUACCUUCCUGAUUGCGUCCAUUUCAUGAAGCAGAACAUGGCUGAAUUGGCCUUCGCUUGCGCCAUCCCUGUACAUGAGAAUAAUCGGUCAGGCAGUUCCAUUGAAUGGACAGGAUGAAAAGAGUGUCAUGAAUUUGUGCACACACCUGUAGAAGAGUAUCCUCUCAGGCCUCCGGCCUGUCUUUCUGCGGAAGGCAAUCAGUAACUCCCUGUAGAGACAAUUAUGUCAGGUUAGCAGUUGAUCCACAGGGCAAUAGCUACCAAUCGUCUCUGACUAAUCACAAAACUCACCUGAUCAUGCCACCAUUGCCAUUACCCCUCUGCGGAUCUUUGGUGACACUGAAGAGGUCUUCGAUUAUCUCCUGCCUGUGUGGUUGAGCAGAGACAAGACAUCUGUACUUGGUGAUCUCUGGCCAGUCCAUUGAUGCCACCACCUACAUCAAUCCAAUAUGUGCAUCAAGACGAUAAUUCCAUUUAAAAGAUAAAAUCAGACAGAAACAAAUAACGAAUUGACAAACAGUUAGCUAUGGGGAAGAACUAACCGCAGCAAUAGAUGAUGCAGAGUCCUCUCCAGGUGGGGGGUGCGUAACAUCAGCACCAAUUCAUGGCUGACCAAUUUGGAUCUGAAGCCCAAGUGCAAGCCAAGAGAAACUGAAACAAGUUGCUCCUCUGACUUGGACCUGUUACAAACCCAAAAUCCAGAACCAAAAUAGUUCACCAGAUCCCAGCCACAAAGCCGAAGAAGAAUCUAACUUUAAGAACCCAAAGAUCAGAAUAGCACACAACAAUAUGGCAACUAGCAAAACCACUUGGUAACUUAAACCACUUGCAUAGGAUAGGUCUCAAAUAGAGUUAAAGGUAACAAAGACAGAGUCAUAGAUAUCCUGGCUACUACGAACUGAACAAGAUAACUACGAGCAACAGGCUCCACGGCAAAACAGAGUCAUCGGCAUCUCAUGCUCUCUCACACACAACUCAGGCUAGGGUAGCUCGCACAAAGAACAGCUCCAUGGGAGCUCAGCAGUAGAACAAGACGUCCUUGACGUUCUCCUUGAUCUGGGCAUAGGGUAUACUGUCAGCGAUUUACUGCAAGGCCUUCUUGAUCGGGACACGCUUCUUCAAGAGCCCCCGAAUAACCUCCGCAACAAAACUUCUUAAGAACAUAGUAAUCUCGUGGUCACUCAAGUGAAAUGGAG
Molecule: long non-coding RNA, 3325 nt
Filed under: Triticum aestivum (bread wheat)
Lineage: Eukaryota; Viridiplantae; Streptophyta; Magnoliopsida; Poales; Poaceae
Description: long non-coding RNA (TAES_LNC006305)
Source: RNAcentral